AGCAGCCGCGGUAAUUCCAGCUCCAAUAGCGUAUAUUAAAGUUGUUGCAGUUAAAAAGCUCGUAGUUGAAUUUCGGGAUCAGAUUGUCGGUCGUGCCUCGGUACGCACUGGCAUUAUUGGUUCCUACCUUCUGAAGAACCGCGAUGUCAUUAAUUUGGUGUCGUGGGGAAUCAGGACUGUUACUUUGAAAAAUUAGAGUGUUUAAAGCAGGCGCACGCUUGAAUACAUUAGCAUGGAAUAAUGAAAUAGGACGUUUGAUUCUAUUUUGUUGGUUUCUAGGAUCGACGUAAUGAUUAAUAGGGAUAGUUGGGGGCAUUAGUAUUCAAUUGUCAGAGGUGAAAUUCUUGGAUUUAUUGAAGACUAACUACUGCGAAAGCAUUUGCCAAGGAUGUUUUCAUUAAUCAAGAACGAAAGUUAGGGGAUCGAAGACGAUCAGAUACCGUCGUAGUCUUAACCAUAAACUAUGCCGACUAGGGAUCGGAUGAUGUUGAUUUUAUAAUGACUC
RNAcentral lists this ribosomal RNA (505 nucleotides) under uncultured Glomus. RNAcentral describes it as "SSU rRNA". It matches the Rfam family "Eukaryotic small subunit ribosomal RNA", at positions 569 to 1077 of the family's 1831-position model. Lineage: Eukaryota; Fungi; Glomeromycota; Glomeromycetes; Glomerales; Glomeraceae. The record is from RNAcentral.